This 666-nucleotide ribosomal RNA is filed under the name uncultured bacterium. RNAcentral describes it as "bacterial SSU rRNA". It matches the Rfam family "Bacterial small subunit ribosomal RNA", at positions 64 to 746 of the family's 1533-position model. The record is from RNAcentral.
GAACGAGAAAGUGGAGCAAUCCAUGAGUAAAGUGGCGACCGGGUGAGUAACACGUGACUAACCUACCUUCGAGUGGGGGAUAACCUAGGGAAACCUGGGCUAAUACCGCAUAACAUCUUUGGAUCGGAAGAACUGAAGAUCAAAGGAGCAAUUCGCUUGAAGAGGGGGUCGCGGCUGAUUAGCUAGUUGGCGGGGUAAUGGCCCACCAAGGCUUUGAUCGGUAGCCGGCCUGAGAGGGCGCACGGCCACACUGGAACUGAAACACGGUCCAGACUCCUACGGGAGGCAGCAGUGGGGAAUUUUGCGCAAUGGGGGAAACCCUGACGCAGCAACGCCGCGUGGAGGAUGAAGUCCCUUGGGACGUAAACUCCUUUCGACCGGGACGAUUAUGACGGUACCGGUGGAAGAAGCCCCGGCUAACUUCGUGCCAGCAGCCGCGGUAAUACGAGGGGGGCAAGCGUUGUUCGGAAUUAUUGGGCGUAAAGGGCGCGUAGGCGGUGCGGUAAGUCACCUGUGAAAUCUCCGGGCUUAACUCGGAGUCUGCAGGCGAAACUGCCGUGCUGGAGUAUGGGAGAGGUGCGUGGAAUUCCCGGUGUAGCGGUGAAAUGCGUAAAUAUCGGGAGGAACACCUGUGGCGAAAGCGGCGCACUGGACCAUAACUGACGC